Molecule: unclassified non-coding RNA, 257 nt
Filed under: Hevea brasiliensis (rubber tree)
Lineage: Eukaryota; Viridiplantae; Streptophyta; Magnoliopsida; Malpighiales; Euphorbiaceae
Source: RNAcentral
ACUCCAGUUAUCAGAGGCAAUUCUUCCUUGGACAUACAGGUACAGUGCAGAGGCAAAGUGAACCAACUAUUGAGUGGAAUUAGAGGUGAUGACCCAUUGGUAACAAGCAAUGAGUUGAUUCUACCACAAAUGUGAUGACCCCUCUGUCAAAGGCUGAGAAGGGAGGAAUUGGAGGAGAGGGUAUGAGACAAGAACAGAAUCUAAAGGAAUUAAAGAGGAAAGAAGGAAAUGGCAAGGAGAGGAGGAGGAGGAGGGAG